This 419-nucleotide ribosomal RNA is filed under the name gamma proteobacterium Jbg50. RNAcentral's name for it is "bacterial SSU rRNA". It matches the Rfam family "Bacterial small subunit ribosomal RNA", at positions 560 to 977 of the family's 1533-position model. Lineage: Bacteria; Pseudomonadati; Pseudomonadota; Gammaproteobacteria. The record is from RNAcentral.
GUAAAGCGUGCGUAGGUGGUUCGUUAAGUCUGAUGUGAAAGCCCUGGGCUCAACCUGGGAAUUGCAUUGGAUACUGGCGGGCUAGAGUGCGGUAGAGGGUGGCGGAAUUCCCGGUGUAGCAGUGAAAUGCGUAGAGAUCGGGAGGAACAUCCGUGGCGAAGGCGGCCACCUGGACCAUCACUGACACUGAGGCACGAAAGCGUGGGGAGCAAACAGGAUUAGAUACCCUGGUAGUCCACGCCCUAAACGAUGCGAACUGGAUGUUGGGUGCAACUAGGCACUCAGUAUCGAAGCUAACGCGUUAAGUUCGCCGCCUGGGGAGUACGGUCGCAAGACUGAAACUCAAAGGAAUUGACGGGGGCCCGCACAAGCGGUGGAGUAUGUGGUUUAAUUCGAUGCAACGCGCAAAACUUUCCAAA